Molecule: long non-coding RNA, 841 nt
Organism: Zea mays
Lineage: Eukaryota; Viridiplantae; Streptophyta; Magnoliopsida; Poales; Poaceae
Exons: 3
Source: RefSeq, a predicted model, not a curated record
CUCAUCUCGACGCCACAGUAAGCUUCCUUUCGUACAAAUUAAGAGCAACCGUGCCCGGCUUCUAUAAAUUGAGAAUUCCCUUGCUCCGCCCCCUUGUCACAAACCAAACACAACCCCAAACAUAUCCUGCCAUCCACCAUACCCCGGGAAUUCGAAAAUCCCCCCAAAUCGGUCAUCCGCGCCGUUGCGAGACGUCUCGCCGUGGAUAAAGCUCUCUGAGCCGGAACCCCGGAACACUGUGUCGCCACCAUGGAACGCCGCCGUGGACACUCCCUCCGUUGACUCACCGCUCUAUCCUUUCACUCGUCUUCCUGACCAUCGUCCUUGAGUCCAGGGAGAUCGUGGAAUGAGACAGGGCUAUAGACUGGGCUAUAAAUUCACAAUCUAUAGACUGGAAUUGCGAGGCGAAUGCCCGAGCCCGGGUAAUGGAGCUAAGCGUAGCCCUGGAGAAUCUGCAAGCAUACAAUAAUAGUUUGCAUGAGGAAGUGCACGUGUUAUACGACCAGUUGCAUCCGAACGUACCACCGGAGGUUGCAGCAAUGGGAGCCGGAACGUCAGGAGCAGUUGGCGGAGGAUCAUAUGGGGAGUUGGAUCUCUUUGGAGCCCCUUCUUCCAUGAAUCUCGCAGAUGAUCGUUCUCCCGAAGUUGGCAGUGGAGCGGGAGCAGCCAAGGAUGAAGAUAACUAGAGUAGUAUAGUAGGUGGUGGUUUCCUUAUGUAAAUUAAAUAAGGAAAGUUGAGUUGUACCAGUGAGUAUGUAUAAUUAGUACCAGUCUGACAUAAUGUAAUAAAGGUGGUGUAUUUGUGGCAUGUAAUAAUCGAGUAUGUUUAGUUCUUUCUUCU